UACGUAGGGGGCUAGCGUUGUCCGGAUUUAUUGGGCGUAAAGGGCGCGUAGGCGGCCAUUCAAGUGACGGGUGAAAGCCCUCGGCUUAACCGAGGAACUGCCUGUCAGACUGGAUGGCUUGAGACCGGGAGAGGUGAGUGGAAUUCCCAGUGUAGCGGUGAAAUGCGUAGAUAUUGGGAGGAACACCAGUGGCGAAGGCGGCUCACUGGACCGGAACUGACGCUGAGGCGCGAAAGCGUGGGGAGCAAACAGG
Molecule: ribosomal RNA, 253 nt
Filed under: uncultured bacterium
Lineage: Bacteria
Description: partial 16S ribosomal RNA
Rfam family: Bacterial small subunit ribosomal RNA
Source: RNAcentral